This 64-nucleotide transfer RNA is filed under the name Segonzacia mesatlantica. RNAcentral's name for it is "tRNA-Phe". Lineage: Eukaryota; Metazoa; Arthropoda; Malacostraca; Decapoda; Bythograeidae. The record is from RNAcentral.
AUUUACAUAAUUUAUAAAGAAUAUUGCAUUGAAGCUGCAAAAGAGAUAAGUUUAUCUGUGAAUA